AGUGAGCGCUGGCGGUAGGCCUAACACAUGCAAGUCGAACGGCAGCACAGUAAGAGCUUGCUCUUACGGGUGGCGAGUGGCGGACGGGUGAGGAAUACAUCGGAAUCUACUUUUUCGUGGGGGAUAACGUAGGGAAACUUACGCUAAUACCGCAUACGACCUAAGGGUGAAAGCAGGGGAUCUUCGGACCUUGCGCGAUUGAAUGAGCCGAUGUCGGAUUAGCUAGUUGGCGGGGUAAAGGCCCACCAAGGCGACGAUCCGUAGCUGGUCUGAGAGGAUGAUCAGCCACACUGGAACUGAGACACGGUCCAGACUCCUACGGGAGGCAGCAGUGGGGAAUAUUGGACAAUGGGCGCAAGCCUGAUCCAGCCAUACCGCGUGGGUGAAGAAGGCCUUCGGGUUGUAAAGCCCUUUUGUUGGGAAAGAAAAGCAGCAGGUUAAUACCCCGCUGUUCUGACGGUACCCAAAGAAUAAGCACCGGCUAACUUCGUG
Molecule: ribosomal RNA, 492 nt
Filed under: uncultured bacterium
Lineage: Bacteria
Description: partial 16S ribosomal RNA
Rfam family: Bacterial small subunit ribosomal RNA
Source: RNAcentral